Molecule: long non-coding RNA, 218 nt
Filed under: Physcomitrium patens
Lineage: Eukaryota; Viridiplantae; Streptophyta; Bryopsida; Funariales; Funariaceae
Description: long non-coding RNA (PPAT_LNC010931)
Source: RNAcentral
GGAUGAUUGAUUUAGUUAUUAAAAGCGAUUAAUUACAGAAUUACGGUUAGAAUCUGAGAAAAAGAAGUAAGUAUAUAGGAAUUGUAGAAGUUAGUCAUGAGCUGGAAUAAGCUUGGUGCUACCUCUUUGUCUCUUUGUUUUGUUUCUUUGUUGUUGAAGAAUAAUAGAUAGUUUCUGAAUACUGAAAAGUGAGUCUGUAGAAUAAAUCAGAGAUUAAU